AAUCACCCUCGGAUUCAAGCCUAAGAAUUCCAAAACUUCCGAAAUCCGAAUUCGAUCAAAAAGUCGACCAAACGACGUUCAAAUGACCUGAAAUUUUGCACACACAUCACAAAUGACAUAACGAAGCUACAGCAACUCUCAGAAUUCUAUUUCAACCCUCGGAUCAAAAUCUCAUCUAUCAACCGUAAUUCGCCAAAAUAUUAACUUUGUCAAUUCAAGCCAAAUCCUUCCACGGACUUCCAAAAUGCAUUCCGAUCGCGCUCCUAAGUCAUAAAUCACCCAACGAAGCUAUCCAAAUCAUAAAUUUUUUUAUCCGAGCUCAUAUACAAAUAAGUCAACUCUUAGUCAAACCUUUCAAAUUCAAAGCUUUCAACUGAGACUGUUCCUUCAAAUUCAUUCUGAUUUUUCCUGAAAACCAAAACAAACGAUCUACAUCAGUCAUAAUACGUUAUACGGGGAAAGUCAUGCCCGGAAACUGGCAAUUAAAGUGCAAAAGUUCAAAACGAUUGGUCAGGUCGUUACAUGCUUAUAGCACACCUCAAGUCUAUUUCUUCAAAUGAUUACUUGGUCUAGUCUUAUAAGGGCCAUAAAUUAUAGAUCUUGUUCGAUAUGGCGCACCCCAAUCUAAUUAAAUUAGCCAUUUUCAAUACCUUUGAUAAUACCAAACCUUAAAGCCUUUUAAUAACUAAAACCUCAUAACUUGCCUUAAAAAAACUAAGCAUCUAUCGAUCUUCUAUAGCUCUGGAAUUACAGCUACAACCAAACUCAUCUUUUCACACUACUAAUUCAUUACAAAGGCUAAUAAACCCAUGAAAAUGGAAUUACGACUAGCUUUUCAUGUUCAUCAAAAAGAGAAAGUUAUCACAGCUUUCACAUACACAAACAUAACCAAACUUAGGCAUAGACGAUGAAUAAGGUGGAAUUCAAUAUCUCUACUUCUCAAAAUAAACAAAGCAAUCACCCAAAAUACAUCUCUGAAAAUUCAAGCGUAAAUAUGCAUUUUACAAUUUUUAGAAAGCCAAUCAAAGCAACAAUAUCAGCUAACAAUAAAAUAGCAAGAAGAAUGACCUUUGUGUUGACGGAUCUAAGUUCAUACUACAACACCUGGAUAAUUUUCUAGUGAAACACUCGUCGGCGACCUCGAACGAAAGCCUCACUAAUCGAACUCCCUUUUGAACCAAAAUUACAAGCAACAAUAACGACCAACUCGAUUCAAUCAAACUCUGUUUUGAACCAAAAUUUAGAAAAUAGAAAUGGAGUCGUUUUCUUUUCUUUCUUUUUUUAAUUUUCUGAUUUUGAAGUAAAUUGAGGACAUGAAAGAACCUAAUCUCUUUAUCUCCUUUCUGUCCAAUUAUUCCUCUCUCACUCCUUAUGUAUAUGCGGCAGAAAUUGGGAGUUGAAGGCUGAUAGUGGUUGAUCUUCGUGGUAUUUAAAGGCUGGAAGAUGAAGAAGCAGCAACAGCUCGUUGGUUAGGGGUGUGGUGGCGACAGACUAGUGGGAUGAGCGGCGGGCUUCUGGUUUCUCGCCGCUGGGUUUCAGCGAGUUGGUGAAGGGGGGAGUGGUGUGAGGAAGAUGAGGUCGAGGGGGCGGGUUCCUUUUUGAAAAUCAGUGCCG
RNAcentral lists this long non-coding RNA (1614 nucleotides) under Nicotiana tabacum (common tobacco). Its description in RNAcentral is "long non-coding RNA (NTAB_LNC016207)". The record is from RNAcentral. Lineage: Eukaryota; Viridiplantae; Streptophyta; Magnoliopsida; Solanales; Solanaceae.